CCUUCUUUGUGGCUCCGGAAGAGGAUUGUGAAGUUUAGGUUUCGUGGAAGAAACCGAUAAUUGAGGAAAAAAAAAAAUCAAGAUUUGGGGGGAAUUACCUACAAAGAUGUAAGGUGUGUUAAUUUGGGCGCUUCUUGGAUUCUACCCUGAGGAGGAGGCGCGUGGUGAGAGGAGAGCUCCACCAGCUGCGCGCUCGUGUACGCCGUCCGCGCCCGCUUGGACGCCGCC
This 228-nucleotide long non-coding RNA is filed under the name Homo sapiens (human). Its description in RNAcentral is "HSALNT0390390". The record is from RNAcentral. Lineage: Eukaryota; Metazoa; Chordata; Mammalia; Primates; Hominidae.